AUCGCUUCUCGGCCUUUUGGCUCUGAUCAAGUGUAGUAUCUGUUCUUAUCAGUUUAAUAUCUGAUAUGUCCUCUAUCUGAGGACAUUAUAUUAAAUGUGUUUUUAGAGUAGGGAGAUGGAAUAGGAGCUUGCUCUGUGUACUCCACGCAUCGACCUGGUAUUGCAGUACCUCUGGGAAUGGUGCACACACA
Small nuclear RNA from Myotis daubentonii (Daubenton's bat), 191 nucleotides. RefSeq annotates it as U2 spliceosomal RNA. The record is from RefSeq and is a predicted model, not a curated record. Lineage: Eukaryota; Metazoa; Chordata; Mammalia; Chiroptera; Vespertilionidae.